ACUGCCCUAGUUGCUCCUUCUGGC
This 24-nucleotide microRNA is filed under the name Salmo salar (Atlantic salmon). Its description in RNAcentral is "ssa-miR-18a-3p". Its record names the gene ssa-miR-18a-3p. The record is from miRBase by way of RNAcentral. RNAcentral also lists the same sequence under 1 other name. Lineage: Eukaryota; Metazoa; Chordata; Actinopteri; Salmoniformes; Salmonidae.